RNAcentral lists this ribosomal RNA (414 nucleotides) under uncultured microorganism. RNAcentral describes it as "bacterial SSU rRNA". It matches the Rfam family "Archaeal small subunit ribosomal RNA", at positions 459 to 872 of the family's 1478-position model. The record is from RNAcentral.
CAGCCGCCGCGGUAAUACCGGCGGCCCGAGUGGCGGUCACUAUUAUUGGGCUUAAAGCGUCCGUAGCCGGGGUGGGAAGUCCUCCGGGAAAUCUGGCCGCUUAACGGUCAGAAUGCCGGAGGAUACUCCCAGCCUAGGGAGCGGGAGAGGCCGAGGGUAUUCCCGGAGGAGGGGUGAAAUCCUAUAAUCCCGGGAGGACCACCGGUGGCGAAGGCGCUCGGCUGGAACGCGUCCGACGGUGAGGGACGAAGGCCAGGGGAGCAAACCGGAUUAGAUACCCGGGUAGUCCUGGCUGUAAACGAUGCGGACUUUGUGUCGGACAAGCUAUGAGCUUGUCCGGUGCCGGAGGGAAACCGUUAAGUCCGCCGCCUGGGGAGUACGGCCGCAAGGCUGAAACUUAAAGGAAUUGGCGGG